UGGAAAGUGUCGACGAAUCAUCCAAUUUCUUGGACAGAAAAAUCCGUCCAAUUUCUCGGAUUCAAGAAAUUGGAUCGUGUAAACAGGUCUUUACAGUCAGAUGAAUGAAUAAACAAACAAAAAUAUCGGAUUGUUUUCAAGAAAAACGAUUUUCGGGUAUAUUCAGUUGAAGAUUAAGCUCGACAAAUGACCCUGACAGUUAAAGACAUUAAAUUUAUAUGGGCUGAAAUUCCAUCAGAUCCUGACACAUCAGAAUGCAAAAUAUACAAUUGCGAAUAUAAAAACUUCAAAACUGUGAAUGAUAAUAAAGUUUUUUUAAAAUUAA
This is a non-coding RNA of Parasteatoda tepidariorum (common house spider), 325 nucleotides long. NCBI's taxonomy places the organism in Eukaryota, Metazoa, Arthropoda, Arachnida, Araneae, Theridiidae. The record is from RefSeq and is a predicted model, not a curated record.